Molecule: ribosomal RNA, 513 nt
Filed under: uncultured Verrucomicrobiota bacterium
Lineage: Bacteria; Pseudomonadati; Verrucomicrobiota
Description: bacterial SSU rRNA
Rfam family: Bacterial small subunit ribosomal RNA
Source: RNAcentral
GGCGGCGUGGAUAAGACAUGCAAGUCGAGCGAGAUUUUUUCUUGUAGCAAUACAGGGAAAAGUCUAGCGGCGAACGGGUGCUUAACACGUGGGCAACCUGCCAAGAAGUGGGGGAUAGCUCGCCGAAAGGCGAAUUAAUACCGCAUGUGAUCAGAGUGGACAUCCAUUCGAAAUCAAAGUCGGGGCAACCUGACGCUUCUUGAGGGGCCCGCGGCCUAUCAGCUAGUUGGUGAGGUAACGGCCCACCAAGGCUUAGACGGGUAGCUGGUCUGAGAGGACGACCAGCCACACUGGGACUGAGACACGGCCCAGACACCUACGGGUGGCAGCAGUCGAGAAUUUUUCUCAAUGGGGGAAACCCUGAAGGAGCGACGCCGCGUGGAGGAUGAAGGUCUUCGGAUUGUAAACUCCUGUCAUUGGGGAACAAUGCGCAAAUAUUAACUGUAUUUGCGUUGAUAGUACCCGAAGAGGAAGGGACGGCUAACUCUGUGCCAGCAGCCGCGGUAAUACAGA